This 1100-nucleotide ribosomal RNA is filed under the name Flavobacterium sp. M146. RNAcentral describes it as "bacterial SSU rRNA". It matches the Rfam family "Bacterial small subunit ribosomal RNA", at positions 28 to 1137 of the family's 1533-position model. Lineage: Bacteria; Pseudomonadati; Bacteroidota; Flavobacteriia; Flavobacteriales; Flavobacteriaceae. The record is from RNAcentral.
GAUGAACGCUAGCGGCAGGCUUAACACAUGCAAGUCGAGGGGUAGAAGUCUUCGGNCUUUGAGACCGGCGCACGGGUGCGUAACGCGUAUGCAAUCUGCCUUUCACAGAGGGAUAGCCCAGAGAAAUUUGGAUUAAUACCUCAUAGUAUUAUGGAGUGGCAUCACUUUAUAAUUAAAGUCACAACGGUGAAAGAUGAGCAUGCGUCCCAUUAGCUGGUUGGUAAGGUAACGGCUUACCAAGGCUACGAUGGGUAGGGGUCCUGAGAGGGAGAUCCCCCACACUGGUACUGAGACACGGACCAGACUCCUACGGGAGGCAGCAGUGAGGAAUAUUGGUCAAUGGACGCAAGUCUGAACCAGCCAUGCCGCGUGCAGGAUGACGGUCCUAUGGAUUGUAAACUGCUUUUGUACGAGAAGAAACACUCCUAUGUAUAGGAGCUUGACGGUAUCGUAAGAAUAAGGAUCGGCUAACUCCGUGCCAGCAGCCGCGGUAAUACGGAGGAUCCAAGCGUUAUCCGGAAUCAUUGGGUUUAAAGGGUCCGUAGGCGGUUUAGUAAGUCAGUGGUGAAAGCCCAUCGCUCAACGGUGGAACGGCCAUUGAUACUGCUGAACUUGAAUUACUGGGAAGUAACUAGAAUAUGUAGUGUAGCGGUGAAAUGCUUAGAUAUUACAUGGAAUACCAAUUGCGAAGGCAGGUUACUACCAGUUUAUUGACGCUGAUGGACGAAAGCGUGGGGAGCGAACAGGAUUAGAUACCCUGGUAGUCCACGCCGUAAACGAUGGAUACUAGCUGUUGGGCGCAAGUUCAGUGGCUAAGCGAAAGUGAUAAGUAUCCCACCUGGGGAGUACGAACGCAAGUUUGAAACUCAAAGGAAUUGACGGGGGCCCGCACAAGCGGUGGAGCAUGUGGUUUAAUUCGAUGAUACGCGAGGAACCUUACCAAGGCUUAAAUGCAGACUGACCGAUUUGGAAACANAUCUUUCGCAAGACAGUUUACAAGGUGCUGCAUGGUUGUCGUCAGCUCGUGCCGUGAGGUGUCAGGUUAAGUCCUAUAACGAGCGCAACCCCUGUUGUUAGUUGCCAGCGAGUAGUGUCGGGAA